Molecule: ribosomal RNA, 1093 nt
Filed under: Enterococcus sp. 753B5_12ESB
Lineage: Bacteria; Bacillati; Bacillota; Bacilli; Lactobacillales; Enterococcaceae
Description: bacterial SSU rRNA
Rfam family: Bacterial small subunit ribosomal RNA
Source: RNAcentral
GUCGAACGCUUUUUCUUUCACCGGAGCUUGCUCCACCGAAAGAAAAGGAGUGGCGAACGGGUGAGUAACACGUGGGUAACCUGCCCAUCAGAAGGGGAUAACACUUGGAAACAGGUGCUAAUACCGUAUAACAGUAGAAACCGCAUGGUUUCUAUUUGAAAGGCGCUUUUGCGUCACUGAUGGAUGGACCCGCGGUGCAUUAGCUAGUUGGUGAGGUAACGGCUCACCAAGGCAACGAUGCAUAGCCGACCUGAGAGGGUGAUCGGCCACAUUGGGACUGAGACACGGCCCAAACUCCUACGGGAGGCAGCAGUAGGGAAUCUUCGGCAAUGGACGAAAGUCUGACCGAGCAACGCCGCGUGAGUGAAGAAGGUUUUCGGAUCGUAAAACUCUGUUGUUAGAGAAGAACAAGGAUGAGAGUAAAAYGUUCAUCCCUUGACGGUAUCUAACCAGAAAGCCACGGCUAACUACGUGCCAGCAGCCGCGGUAAUACGUAGGUGGCAAGCGUUGUCCGGAUUUAUUGGGCGUAAAGCGAGCGCAGGCGGUUUCUUAAGUCUGAUGUGAAAGCCCCCGGCUCAACCGGGGAGGGUCAUUGGAAACUGGGAAACUUGAGUGCAGAAGAGGAGAGUGGAAUUCCAUGUGUAGCGGUGAAAUGCGUAGAUAUAUGGAGGAACACCAGUGGCGAAGGCGGCUCUCUGGUCUGUAACUGACGCUGAGGCUCGAAAGCGUGGGGAGCAAACAGGAUUAGAUACCCUGGUAGUCCACGCCGUAAACGAUGAGUGCUAAGUGUUGGAGGGUUUCCGCCCUUCAGUGCUGCAGCUAACGCAUUAAGCACUCCGCCUGGGGAGUACGACCGCAAGGUUGAAACUCAAAGGAAUUGACGGGGGCCCGCACAAGCGGUGGAGCAUGUGGUUUAAUUCGAAGCAACGCGAAGAACCUUACCAGGUCUUGACAUCCUUUGACCACUCUAGAGAUAGAGCUUCCCCUUCGGGGGCAAAGUGACAGGUGGUGCAUGGUUGUCGUCAGCUCGUGUCGUGAGAUGUUGGGUUAAGUCCCGCAACGAGCGCAACCCUUAUUGUUAGUUGCCAUCAUU